UUUGGUACUCCCUUCCUUGUGUCCAUGUGUUCCCAUUUUUCAUCACCCACCUAUGAGUGAGAAUAUGCAGUAUUUCAUUUUCUGUUCUUGUGUCAGUUUGCUGAGAAUAAUGUUCUCCAGAUUCAUCCAUGUCCCUACAAAUGACACAAACUCAUCAUUUUUGAUUGCUGCAUAAUAUUCCAUGGUGUAUAUGUGCCACAUUUUCCCAAUCCAGUCUAUCAUCAAGUUAUAGUAUUUCAAAUGGAACCUAUUAUAAUAGUAACUAAAUAUUAUCCUUAUCACCUUAUAGUAAUGUCCCUUAAUAUUUUUAUAAACAUAAUGGAAUAUAGUAUCAGCAGUUGUAGGGAGGAGGGGACAGGAAAGAGUGAUGAUUAUAAUCGUGGAAAAGAAACAUUUACCUUCUUGUCUGAGGUAUUGAGUCACCCUCUAUUUGUUGGGCACCAUGGGACUGUAGGGAAUUGCUGUCAUAAUCCUUCCAAUGCAAUCAUUGUGAGGUCACAUAGAAGAAGGGGCAGCCAGGGAGACUCAUCUCAUUGCUAAUGCAGGAUAUGUGGAGUGCUUUUUUGUAAAAGGUGGCACCAUCAACAGGGAACAGGAUGUGCCAAUGUGACAGUGAGUCACCAAGUGAAAUCAUGGCUUCUCAGGUUCUGAUGCCUGCCAGGCUGGGAGCAAUGAGAUUGGCCCACUGUCCUGUCCCCUCCAUGGAGAGAGGAAAGACAUUCAGUCCCAGGACAUACAUUCAGAGAAAAGAAAACUUGCUGUUUCAACUACUUUCAUCAUAUAAGGAUAUUGUCCUUUUUAACACUGCCAUAAAGGCAGUCCCUUUUAACACUGCCAUGAAGAACUGCCUGAGACUGGGUGGCCUUUGGCAUCACAUCCCUAUGAAGUUCCUUCCUCACUGAAUAUGGGCUGGUCUGUGACUUCUGUAACAAUUGAACAUAGCAGAAGAUAUGCUGUGCCUAUUUCAGAAACAUGCCUCAAGAAGACUUGGCAGUCCUGGCUUUUGCACUUUGGGAUCCCUUAGCCACUAUGUAAGAAGUUCACCUAUCAAGCUGGGAAGACCUUGUAGAGACCACAUAGAGAAAAAGAGGCGAGGCUACAUGGGAAGGACAGCUUCAGUCAUUUCAUUAUGCCAGCUAUAUUGAGACUUCCAGCCACCCCUACCAAGGCACCAGAUACGUAAUAAGCCAUCUUGGACAGUACCACAUCCAAAUCAAACUUCCAGAUGUUUGCAGCCCCAGACAUUGUCUCACUGCAAUGGCAAGAGAACACCAAAAGCUAAAGGACCAUCUUGCUGAACCCUUUGACUCACAGAUUUGUGAAAGAGAGAUACUGUUAAAAGAUUGAAAAGAUGAGCCAUCGAUUGGGAGAAGAUAUUUGAAACCUGCAUAACCAACAAAGGGCCCCUUUCCAGAAGAUAUGAAGAACUCUUCUAAAUCACAAGAAGGACAACACAAUAGAAAAAUGUCUGCAAAUGACUCCAGUCUCUUUACAAAAGAGGAAAUUCAAAUGACCAAUAAAUGCUCUCAUGAAAAUGUGCUCAAUGUCGCUGUGAAUCUGAAAUAUGUAAGUUAAAACAAAAUUAAAUACUCUUGCUCAUCUACCAGUUGACAAACCACUUUAAAUUGAAAAUACCAAAUGUUGAGAGAAUGUAAAAUACUGUGAACCCUCAUACAUGACUGGUGUAAAUGGUACUUUUUUUUUUUUUUAUUGUCCUCUCAAGCUGAAGACAACUUAUCCUAAAUGACUUCAGUCUUGGGGGCAUACUUUAGAAAAACGGGUACACACAUGCCCCAGGAUUAUUGCAGCCUGUAAUCAUGCAAAUCUGAGAUACCCAUCCUGCAUAAAAUGGAAAAAUUAUGGCAUAUUCAUACAAUAGUAUGCUAUGCAAUAAUGAAAAUGAAUAAACCACAUAAAUAAGCUUAACAAACACAUAUUGAGCCAAAGAAGCCAGACACAAAAAUAUGAAUUCAUAUACAUAAAAGUUCAAAAACGAACAUUUUGGGGGAUUCAUUUUAAGAGGUAAAAUUAAAAAGGAAACAAGGAAAUCACAAUAGUAGUCCCUCCAGAAGAUAUUGGGAUUUAUUUUUAUAAUUGUUUCACCUAACUAUAAAAAUGUAUGUAUGUGUACCUUCCUGAGUGUUAUAUUUUAUAGUAAAUGAAGCAAAAAUACUAUAAAAUCAAGGAUGUGUGCACAAAGAUUUAGUUAUGAAGUAUUAACUAUAACCAUGUUUAUUAUAGGGAGAAACCCCAAACUUUGAGUCACAGCUUUGGAUUAUGUAAAAGAAUGGAUCAAAUACAUCACCACACACAAAAGAGAGUUUACUCACCCUGUAGAAAUUAUAUUAGAGAAGAAUAUCUCAUGGCUUCCAAAGAUAAUUGAGAUGUAUAUUUAAAUGGGAGACGAUGUUUAUCAUACAUUAUGCACGGAUAUUUCAAUGUUUUAAAAUAAACUUUGAAUGCUAAUACACAGAAAAAGAUUGAGAGAAACACAUUAAAAUGUUAACUAAGAUUUUAUUUGGUUGGUGACUUUAUGAGCAAGUUUUGUUUUCUUUGUUUUACUCAUUAGUAUAGUUUUAAUUUUAAGCAAUGAAUAUGGAUUACUUUUGAAGGAAAUAAAAGGAGACAAUAUUCUAUCGGGAAACAAUAAUGAAAAAAGAGCCCAGAGAUCUCAAAAUGGAAAUAAGAAAUGUGGUAUCUGUUAAUAUGUAUAUUUGGAAAACACCUGGAAUCCUACCAGCUCCGAUGAGCCCAUUUGAAUAUAACUUUUCCCAACCAGUGGCCACCCACCUGGUUCCCCUUUCUCAGCAUGCAUAGCUCUGAUAGUGAAAUCAAAUACUGGCUGUCUUCUUUGGAAGUAAGUAGGGCAGUGGGGUGGGGGAAUGUGACGGGAUCCUCUGAGAACAGUCUGCUCCUAAUUGAAAGGAAGUGAAAAUCCUCCACAUGUUGCAGGGAGAGCUGAUAGAUCAUCCCCCAGUUCUCCUCCAUCUGUUCUGCUGCCUCUUAUAGAAACCAAGACAGGAAAAAUAAUAUGUACUUAACACAGGAAAUGAGGGUAGUCAUUUGAAUGAUAGAGUACCAGAACCCCUUAAAAUGUUUUGGGUGGAGUGGGCAGUGAAACAAAAGGCACCAACCACAGUGCUCAGAUCUGAUUUCAAACCGGGAAAAUGUAGGUACCUGAAGACACCAAACAAUGGUGAGCAGAGAGGACUCCACAGUCAGCACACACACAUUCCCAACGGCCAGGUGGAUUCAACCGCUGUAUACCUGUUAGCCCGUUAGGGUGGAAUUUCCCAAAUUCCCACAGCUGAGCUGUGGUACCUUGGUUUUCCCCAUGCUAUCAAUCCCCUCAGCCAUAGAGGCAAUGGUCUCAUCUCUGGGCCAGCAAUUCUGAC
Callithrix jacchus (white-tufted-ear marmoset) is the source of this 3395-nucleotide long non-coding RNA. RefSeq lists it as uncharacterized. Lineage: Eukaryota; Metazoa; Chordata; Mammalia; Primates; Cebidae. The record is from RefSeq and is a predicted model, not a curated record.